This 109-nucleotide Y RNA is filed under the name Carlito syrichta (Philippine tarsier). RNAcentral describes it as "Y RNA (ENSTSYG00000021893.2)". It matches the Rfam family "Y RNA". Rfam says of the family: Y RNAs are components of the Ro ribonucleoprotein particle (Ro RNP), in association with Ro60 and La proteins. The Y RNAs and Ro60 and La proteins are well conserved, but the function of the Ro RNP is not known. In humans the RNA component can be one of four small RNAs -- hY1, hY3, hY4 and hY5. Lineage: Eukaryota; Metazoa; Chordata; Mammalia; Primates; Tarsiidae. The record is from Rfam by way of RNAcentral.
AGCUGGUCCAAAGGUAGCAAGUUAUCUCAAUUGGUUGUUCAGUCAGUUACAGACCAAACUCUGUUCUACCCUUUCCCCUGUUCUCACUACUGCUCUUGACUAGUAUUUU